This 599-nucleotide ribosomal RNA is filed under the name Pseudomonas sp. EECC-236. RNAcentral describes it as "bacterial SSU rRNA". It matches the Rfam family "Bacterial small subunit ribosomal RNA", at positions 87 to 682 of the family's 1533-position model. Lineage: Bacteria; Pseudomonadati; Pseudomonadota; Gammaproteobacteria; Pseudomonadales; Pseudomonadaceae. The record is from RNAcentral.
GGUGGCGAGCGGCGGACGGGUGAGUAAUGCCUAGGAAUCUGCCUGGUAGUGGGGGAUAACGCUCGGAAACGGACGCUAAUACCGCAUACGUCCUACGGGAGAAAGCAGGGGACCUUCGGGCCUUGCGCUAUCAGAUGAGCCUAGGUCGGAUUAGCUAGUUGGUGAGGUAAUGGCUCACCAAGGCGACGAUCCGUAACUGGUCUGAGAGGAUGAUCAGUCACACUGGAACUGAGACACGGUCCAGACUCCUACGGGAGGCAGCAGUGGGGAAUAUUGGACAAUGGGCGAAAGCCUGAUCCAGCCAUGCCGCGUGUGUGAAGAAGGUCUUCGGAUUGUAAAGCACUUUAAGUUGGGAGGAAGGGCAGUUACCUAAUACGUGAUUGUUUUGACGUUACCGACAGAAUAAGCACCGGCUAACUCUGUGCCAGCAGCCGCGGUAAUACAGAGGGUGCAAGCGUUAAUCGGAAUUACUGGGCGUAAAGCGCGCGUAGGUGGUUUGUUAAGUUGGAUGUGAAAUCCCCGGGCUCAACCUGGGAACUGCAUCCAAAACUGGCAAGCUAGAGUAUGGUAGAGGGUGGUGGAAUUUCCUGUGUAGCGGU